RNAcentral lists this ribosomal RNA (517 nucleotides) under uncultured bacterium. Its description in RNAcentral is "bacterial SSU rRNA". It matches the Rfam family "Bacterial small subunit ribosomal RNA", at positions 8 to 518 of the family's 1533-position model. The record is from RNAcentral.
AGAGUUGAUUAUGGCUCAGGAUGAACGCUAGCGACAGGCUAACACAUGCAAGUCGAGGGGCAGCAUAAAAGUAGCAAUACUUGGUGGCGACCGGCGCACGGGUGAGUAACGCGUAUGCAACCUACCUAUCAGGAGGGGAAUAACCCGGCGAAAGUCGGACUAAUACCGCAUAAAACAGGGGCACCGCAUGGUGAUAUUUGUUAAAGAAAUUCGCUGAUAGAUGGGCAUGCGUUCUAUUAGGUAGUUGGUGAGGUAACGGCUCACCAAGCCGACGAUGGAUAGGGGAACUGAGAGGUUGGUCCCCCACACUGGUACUGAGACACGGACCAGACUCCUACGGGAGGCAGCAGUGAGGAAUAUUGGUCAAUGGGCGGGAGCCUGAACCAGCCAAGUCGCGUGAAAGGAAGAAGGAUCUAUGGUUCGUAAACUUCUUUUGCAGGGGAAUAAAGUGCAGGACGUGUCCUGUUUUGUAUGUACCCUGAGAAUAAGGAUCGGCUAACUCCGUGCCAGCAGCGGC